GACGAACGCUAGCGGCGUGCUUAACACAUGCAAGUCGAACGGAAAGGCCCUGCUUGCAGGGUACUCGAGUGGCGAACGGGUGAGUAACACGUGGGUGAUCUGCCCUGCACUUCGGGAUAAGCCUGGGAAACUGGGUCUAAUACCGGAUAGGAGCCAUUUUUAGUGUGAUGGUUGGAAAGUUUUUUUCGGUGUAGGAUGAGCUCGCGGCCUAUCAGCUUGUUGGUGGGGUAAUGGCCUACCAAGGCGGCGACGGGUAGCCGGCCUGAGAGGGUGGACGGCCACAUUGGGACUGAGAUACGGCCCAGACUCCUACGGGAGGCAGCAGUGGGGAAUAUUGCACAAUGGGCGCAAGCCUGAUGCAGCGACGCCGCGUGGGGGAUGACGGCCUUCGGGUUGUAAACUCCUUUCGCUAGGGACGAAGCUUUUUGUGACGGUACCUAGAUAAGAAGCACCGGCUAACUACGUG
RNAcentral lists this ribosomal RNA (466 nucleotides) under uncultured bacterium. Its description in RNAcentral is "partial 16S ribosomal RNA". It matches the Rfam family "Bacterial small subunit ribosomal RNA", at positions 28 to 507 of the family's 1533-position model. The record is from RNAcentral.